CCGCCGCACCGCGCUGCUCCGCGCAGCUGCCUGGUUACCGAGCACAACACGCCGCGCCGCCCCGCCCCGCCGGCCCGCGGCGAGGAAGCAGGUUAAGAGCAUGAGUAUUCACCUCAAUGAGAGCAUCUUCACAGCAAAAGCUCAGACUUCAUACAGUAAUACUACUAUUGUUUGAAGCCGUUCAGCAAAGUACUUGCUAGUGAAGAAGAGACUGACACACUCAUCUUGUUACAACCUCCUGGCUCAGAUUCAGUGGUUCUUAACCAGCAUCUUCAGGUCCUUUUCUGCCAGGCCACUUUCCAGCUACUCUUCCCCAAGACUGUAGCACUGCCUGGGGUUGUUGUGCCCCAGAGGCAGGACUUGGCACUUGGCCUUAUUGAUUUGCCUCAGCCCAGCCUGUCCAGAUCCCUCUGCAGAGUCCUCCAGCAGAUCCUCACUCCCUCCCAGCCUGGUGUCUCAACUGCAAACUGACUGAGGUUGCACUUGAUCCCCUCACCUCAAAUAAUUGAUAAAGAUAUGAAAUGAAGGAGAGGAACUGACGCCAGUACUGAGACCUGGGGAACGCCACAUUUAUCUCUGAACCAAAGCUCUCUGUUCAGCCAGGGCGGUCUUUCCUGCUGGCUCAUCUUUCAGCACAUUGGGACAGCCUGCUCCUGCACAUUCAAGAUUUCCUUCCUGAAGAAUGACUAGCCUUCCUGGACUCCUUUGCCUUUCAGGACUGCCUCCCUAGGGACUGUCAGCAAGUCUCCUAAACAGGCCAAAGUCCCUCCAGAAGUCCAAGGAAGCUGAAAUCUCUCCUUACUUCUCCAAGAAUCUAUACACUGUAAAACUGCAUGAUUUUUUUCUGUAUAGUUUUGUAUGCUGUACUUAAGUGUUUAUGUUUUAUAUUUGAAUGUAACAAAACCUGGGUGAAGUAACUUCGAAAAUAAAAUAAAGAUACAACUAGAAGCCAGAUAAUAUAUUCCCUUUAGCAUGAAUUGUACUGAAUUACAUGAAAUACAGCAACACACCAUUUGUCUUCCCUUCCAUUGUGCUGAAAUAAAUAAAUAGAGUGGGAUGACAUUACACAAAAUUAGGUGGGAGUGGAAAAAAAUCAGGAAAAAAUCAUCUACUAAACUAGUAUAUUAUACUGUGAUAUGUGAUCCAUUCUUGUAAGUGAAGUUAUCAAAAUUUUAACAGCUUAGAGAUAAUUAGGAUUUAUAUGUACUGAAUGAGCUCAGUCUAGCAUAUGGCAAGAGUCGAGCUAAAACAAAUGGCAUUUAUUUCCAGUGUUAGUCACCCCAUUUUUGUCAAGAAAGUCAUUAUAUCUUUUUAAAAUGUAUUGUUUUGACAAUUUUCUCUUGUUUAUGCUUCACAAGUUGCACUAAAUUGGAAAAGAAAAUACUAAAAUCUCAAACUACUAUACAAGAUUGAAAAGUGUCAAUAUUGUCUAAAAUAGGACUCAAAGGUUAUUACUUGAAGGUCUUAAUCAAGCAGAAGAGCUGCCAGCCUAAGAAUUGCACUAGAAGUUGUCCAAUCCAGCAGCUGAAUAGCAGUAAGGCUGCCACAGGUUCCCAACCCUACAUCCAGCCAGCAGCAAAGUUGAGAGUGCUCAGCUCCCAGUAGGUGCUCAUCCUAACAAUGUGCAUGCACGGGAAUGUGUGGCUGCAUGCACAGUUCAGCAGGGACCAAAACCACAGCCCUCAUACUGGCACUUGUCAUGGGACCAGCCUGAUUCUGCCUUAUCAAGGUGAAAGCCUGAGAGCAGAAUAUACAUGCAAGUACAUAUAGAGGCAUAAAGGGUGAACCCCUGCUGUAGUUGAUGUUAAACACUCCAUUGUGCCAGCAUUUGGCCCCUGGAUCCCAGUCGGCCCAGCCCCUGAGGUCUGAGUCCUGCUCCACUGGCAGGUAAAGACCCAUUGACCCAUCAACAAACACUACUGCUUUUUACAGGACACAUUUUGUCCCCUUAGCCUUUCACCUUUGUGCCUCCAGCCCCUUGUGUGUUGUGGAGAUUAAUCUUUAAACACAUAACCUAACAGUUUCUAACAAUGCUUUGGCAUAGAAAAAUAAUAAAAUUUAAAUAAAAUCAGUUUAAAAAUUCAGAUGAACAUGGUAAGAGUAAAUUCCUUGUAAUGAACCAGUAGUACAAAGCAGUCAUGAUCAGAUUGUGCCACCCUGUGGACUGUGUCAAAGAGCUGUUUCCUUUAGUGCUGGGCUAAAAACAUGCUGUAGGAACAGGCCGAGAAAUUCUCAGCCACCAAAGCAAAAAUAAUUUUGAGUUUCCUUACAUUCUAAUAGAGACAAGAUGUCUUCUUGAACUGUGCCUUUGAAUAGCACUGGGCAGAUUUUGAGCUGGCACCAAUCUCAAACAAACGUGGACAAAUAUCUUAUCAGGAAAAGUCAUAAUACCUUCGUGAAUUAUCUUCCUGUUAUGUAACACUAGGCAGAAUAAUUCAGUUUCUUUACUUGCUUGGAGAUACAUGUAUGAGCAGAAAAACAAUCUCUCUUAAAUUAUAAAGAAAUCAAAAUAAUUGCCUGUCUGAAUAUUACAGUAUUACAGUCAAACAACAAAUCCUUGCGGUAAAAACAAUAAACAAGAUGGAAACCACAGCGUAUGACAGUGGCCACAGUAAAACGAUGAUUUGGAGCUAAAAUAAAAGACUAAUCUGGUAGGAAGAGAGGGCUCAUGGGUAAGUUUGGGUUUUUAGACAAUGUGGAGCUGUCUUUUAAGUUCUAAUCUGAAAAGAGGUCUAAACAGAAAUUGAGAACAGGGCAUUUAAUAAGGGGUGAGAAGCUUGGUGUGCCACAUGAGGCAGCUACAGCAUCUUAAAAGCACAAACUAAUGUUGUCAAAACAUGAGAAGGCAGGUGGUAUCAGUCAGAGAUUGGAGAAAGCAUUAUUUUUCUAAGAAGAAAUGGAAAUUGAACCUCUUUACUUAGUUCUUAUAAGCAGCAUAUGGGUCUAGUGGGAGGCUAAUCUCCCUGAUAAUACAAAAAUCUACGUGGAGGAAACCCUGGCCCUAUGAUUUUUCAUAAUCUGUAAUUAAUAUACUGAAGAUUCUUGUGAUCACUAUCAUUACUUAGCUAUUGGCUGACUGACAGUGGCUAUUCUCGGUCACUGUCAUUAUACUUGGAGUUUUAAAGCUAUAUUACCUGACUUCUAUAGUGGUCUGAAUACAAAACACAUGAAAAAAAAAAUUAAAUAUCUAAAAUAUGUCUAAUAUGAUAAAUAUUUUAAAUGACAAGGCAUGUAUUUGAGCUACUAAACAUUGUUAUGUGAGUAAAGGAAUUUAUUCAAAAUCUUUCCUGACAUAAUUUUGUAUGUGCCUCAAACUCAUGAGGUAAGAGAACCAUCUUGGUAUUCAUGAGAACUUCCAAGGGCAGAAGUCUGCCAUCUCUGUGAAAUUAAUGAUAUCAGGUAUUAUUUUCUAUCAUUUGAUGUUUACAGGUAGCACCAGAAUUUCUUCUCAAAUGUUAGGAUUCUUUUAUGAGACAUCAAUGUUUUUUAUCAUGUUCGUUUUCAUUCAGGAACUUGAAGCUCUAUGUCUUGUCUAAUAGCAUUUAAUGAGUAGGAAGCAUGUUGUUUUCUAUGAAAGCAGAUGGUGUUGUUUAAAACAGUAUUGCAAUUUCUGUAAAAAAAAUACUUAUUUAGAAUAAGAGUUUUAAGAAUAAUAUUACGUAAUAAAGAGACAAUGAAAAAUAA
Catharus ustulatus (Swainson's thrush) is the source of this 3684-nucleotide long non-coding RNA. RefSeq lists it as uncharacterized. Lineage: Eukaryota; Metazoa; Chordata; Aves; Passeriformes; Turdidae. The record is from RefSeq and is a predicted model, not a curated record. The transcript has 3 exons.